CAUCUUCACCAGUUCAAAUCCUGCCUUGGACACUUUCUACAUGAGGAAGAUGAGGCCCAGAGACACGAAGUCCUCCAAGUUAUACAGGUAGCCAAUGGCAGAGCUGGAAUUUGAACCCGGGUCCACAUAUACCAUCAGCAGCUCAUUGACAACAAAAGUGCUUUCUCCAAAAGGAGGCAGGGAGUACAGGUAUGACAGACAACAGUGACAGAUGUUGCUGAUUUCACAUUGCAGAAGACCUGAAGGUAGGAGGGAUAGCUAGCACACCAUGUGACAGAGUCAGGACCCCCAAAAGAUCUGGACAGGCUGCAUUCACAGAAUUCUACAUCUACAAGAGCCCUCGGAAAGGUGAAGGAAGGCCAACAGUACAGACUUCCUGCUCAUGGGACAGAUAAAUGAACAUAACCACCCCAACCAGGCACCCAGGGGCUCUUCUCUAUCUUGGCCCCCAUUCACAAGUUCUAUUCUCCUUCUGAUCCCAAGGAAAUCCAGCCACCAGGAAAAGCAGCACCUUAACAAGAGUUUACUGCAUUUCUAAAGACUACUGGAUCUGAACACAGAGGACCCAGGUCCAAAUGCCAACUCUGCUGCUUACUAUCCAUAGGAUCUUGGCAGCUAGGAGACUCAGUGGAUAGAGUCCUGGACUUGGAGACAGGAAGAUCUGAGUUCAAAUCUGCCCUCAAACAUUUGCUGAACU
This is a long non-coding RNA of Phascolarctos cinereus (koala), 697 nucleotides long. RefSeq lists it as uncharacterized. NCBI's taxonomy places the organism in Eukaryota, Metazoa, Chordata, Mammalia, Diprotodontia, Phascolarctidae. The record is from RefSeq and is a predicted model, not a curated record.